UGCCUGGUGGUCCAGUGGCUAAGACUCUGUACUCCCAAUGCAGGGGGCCCAGGUUCAAUCCCUGGUCAGGGAA
This 73-nucleotide transfer RNA is filed under the name Bos taurus (domestic cattle). It matches the Rfam family "tRNA". From Rfam's summary of the family: Transfer RNA (tRNA) molecules are approximately 80 nucleotides in length. Their secondary structure includes four short double-helical elements and three loops (D, anti-codon, and T loops). RNAcentral also lists the same sequence under 6 other names. The record is from Rfam by way of RNAcentral. Lineage: Eukaryota; Metazoa; Chordata; Mammalia; Artiodactyla; Bovidae.